This is a small nucleolar RNA of Ochotona curzoniae (black-lipped pika), 104 nucleotides long. RefSeq annotates it as small nucleolar RNA U13. Lineage: Eukaryota; Metazoa; Chordata; Mammalia; Lagomorpha; Ochotonidae. The transcript has a single exon. The record is from RefSeq and is a predicted model, not a curated record.
AUCCUUUUGUGGUCCAUAAGCGUGAUGAUUGGGUCUGCACAGGUUUGUGUGACAUCUGCCUCCCUCCAGCCUUGUUAAGACGCCAGCACAUCACCCAUCUGACU